AGCAAGAUGCUGGAGCUGUGGGGAGUAGCUCAGUGUGCUAACUGAAUUACAGUUACAGGUGUGGAGAGUAGCUCAGUGUGCUAACUGAAUUACAGUUACAGGUGUGGAGAGUAGCUCAGUGUGCUAACUGAAUUACAGUUACAGGUGUGGAGAGUAGCUCAGUGUGCUAACUGAAUUACAGGUGUGGAGAGUAGCUCAGUGUGCUAACUGAAUUACAGUUACAGGUGUGGAGAGUAGCUCAGUGUGCUAACUGAAUUACAGUUACAGGUGUGGAGAGUAGCUCAGUGUGCUAACUGAAUUACAGGUGUGGAGAGUAGCUCAGUGUGCUAACUGAAUUACAGGUGUGGUGAGUAGCAAGAGGUUUAGAAGAGUUAUUUGUUCAGGCAGUUUAAUGGUGUCUGUGUGCAUGCAGUGAUUCGUUCAGGCAGUUUAAUGGUGUCUGUGUGCAUGCAGUGAUUCGUUCAGGUGGGUUAAUGGUGUCUGUGUGCAUGCAGUGAUUCGUUCAGGAGGGUUAAUGGUGUCUGUGUGCAUGCAGUGAUUCGUUCAGGUGGGUUAAUGGUGUCUGUGUGCAUGCGGUGAUUCGUUCAGGCAGUUUAAUGGUGUCUGUGUGCAUGCAGUGAUUCGUUCAGGUGGGUUAAUGGUGUCUGUGUGCAUGCAGUGAUUCGUUCAGGCAGUUUAAUGGUGUUUGUGUGCAUGCAGUGAUUCGUUCAGGUGGGUUAAUGGUGUCUGUGUGCAUGCAGUGAUUCAUUCAGGUGGGUUAAUGGUGUCUGUGUGCAUGCAGUGAUUCGUUCAGGUGGGUUAAUGGUGUCUGUGUGCAUGCAGUGAUUCCUUCAGGUUUAACGGUGUCAGUCUUCCUUG
Molecule: long non-coding RNA, 858 nt
Organism: Anguilla anguilla (European eel)
Lineage: Eukaryota; Metazoa; Chordata; Actinopteri; Anguilliformes; Anguillidae
Exons: 3
Source: RefSeq, a predicted model, not a curated record